AUGGACCCCAACCUCUCCGCUCCGCCCCCUCCGCCAACGGACGAGGGCCACGACAACCGGGUCGUGCAGCUGCCGGGCGGCCUCACCAUGAUGGCAAACCACAAGCCGCUGGUGUGUGCCGUCCCGCUGACGGCACGCCCAAAGUCAGUGGAAGUCAAGCUGUUCAAAGGGUUUUACGACGUGCGCGUCCAGGGCGCGAACGGCGAGCGCGGCUUCUACCGCAUCCCGAUGAGCCCGGCGGGCUCGCCGAAGCUUCUCGUCGCAAACUUGGCGACCUGCUCCAUCGGCUUCAUCGACAGGGUAGCAACGGUCGGCCCCUCCCGCGCCCCGUUCACGGAUGCCAAGGUGAUCUGCCGUGACCUGCGUGGGCGGGACUCCACUCCGGGCUGCGACGGGGAGGACCAAGUCAUGCAGGCGGUGGCUCGCUUCGAUGCGGGCCUCCCUCCGUUCCAGCCAUCGCCGCCGCUGCAGAUCGCCUCCGGGGACUGCUUCGAGCCCUCGCUGCCGCAGCUCUCUCCGCCAGCCUCCUCCGGGAUCGCCGAUCUUCCCCCGCGUGCGGCCUCCCCAACGAUCUUCUUCACGUGUCGCAGUGCCCGCAUCAGGAAGGGCGAGGCUGCCAACCGCAUGACAAUGCUGGAGAAGGCUACUCUCCGGAAGGAGAUGAAGCUCGAGGGAAAGAAGAAGGUGGCGCCAUGCUCCGAGCUGCUGCUCCCGGCGGCGGAGCUCAUGGAGAUCGUCGCUGAGGGCCCCCCACCGCUGCCGCGCAAGGAUGCCAUGCAGUUUGCCGUGGCCUGUGGCGUUUCCGGGAUCGACCUCAACCUGGUGCCAUCCGGGGACGAUGUGUGA
This 846-nucleotide ribosomal RNA is filed under the name Triticum aestivum (bread wheat). Its description in RNAcentral is "partial small subunit ribosomal RNA". Lineage: Eukaryota; Viridiplantae; Streptophyta; Magnoliopsida; Poales; Poaceae. The record is from RNAcentral.